AUGGAGCGGGUGUCCGAGCUGCUUUCCUGGACGCUGAGCAGAGUCCUGUGACUUUCAGGCCUCUCUGAGCCAGGAGCUGCCCGGCAGCCCCGGAUCAUGGAAGAGAAAGCGCCAGAGGUUUAUGAUUUGAUUCGGACCAUCCGGGACCCAGAAAAGCCCAAUACUUUAGAAGAACUGGAAGUGGUAACGGAGAGCUGUGUGGAGGUUCAGGAGAUAAAUGAAGAAGACUAUCUGGUUAUCAUCAGGUUCACGCCAACAGUACCUCAUUGCUCUUUGGCAACUCUUAUUGGGCUGUGCUUAAGAGUAAAACUUCAGCGGUGUUUGCCAUUUAAACACAAGUAUUGAUUGGAAAUCUACAUCUCUGAAGGAACCCACUCAACAGAAGAAGACAUCAACAAGCAGAUAAAUGAUAAAGAGCAAGUGGCAGCUGCGAUGGAGAACCCCAACUUACGGGAAAUUGUGGAACAGUGUGUCCUUGAACCUGACUGAGAGUUGCUUUAAGAGCCACUGAACUGUAAUUGUUUGAUAUUUUUGUUUAAACUCUUUGUAAAAUGUAAAAACUCAUGUUUAAUAUAUAGGUGAUUUGUACCUCAAAACAUUUUUAAGGAAUUAUUUCUAAGCAAGUUUUCAUUACAAGGUAGGACCUAAUUUGUUCAGUACAUAACAUUCUCAGGAUUUGUAACACUGAAAUGAU
Non-coding RNA from Castor canadensis (American beaver), 694 nucleotides. The record is from RefSeq and is a predicted model, not a curated record. NCBI's taxonomy places the organism in Eukaryota, Metazoa, Chordata, Mammalia, Rodentia, Castoridae.